This 140-nucleotide unclassified non-coding RNA is filed under the name uncultured Xylariales. RNAcentral's name for it is "sequence contains ITS1". Lineage: Eukaryota; Fungi; Ascomycota; Sordariomycetes; Xylariales. The record is from RNAcentral.
GAGAGUUUUUAUCAACUCCCAAACCCCUGUGAACAUACCUUACGUUGCCUCGGCGGGUGGUACUCACCCACCGCCCGCCGGCGGCCUACCGAAACUCUGUUUAAGUUACCGUAUCUCUGAAUCAUAACCAAAAUAAGUUA